CAGAGGGAAAGCGUGUUUGCUUCUAGGGUGGCAUCCUAAAGGUGGACCAUUCACAUCUCUGUGUACCAGGCCAGCUAGAACAAACUAUCCUCUGGGGGGAAAGGAGCUGUGGGUGGACCUGCUGGGGACGUUGCUGCUGCUGGAAAAGGCCGAUCCCGUCUCCCAGAAGACCCAACAAGAUGAACACACAUGGAAGGGGAUGGAAAAGACCAGCAGAGAGAGUAAAAUUGAGCUGCUGACUCAGUCUUGUAGCCUCAUAGCCGGAGAAACAAGGCCCCAGACCCCGCCCUGACCAGCCACUUCAAGGCCUGGCAAACUCGUCCCAGCAGUGGGCCAUUUUGGUAGCCAAUUUUGAUUGGACGUAUUCCUGGAGGGCUCAUCACAUGACAUAAUCUUUGCAAAAGAUGCAGAAUGGGCCAGCUGAGCCGGACUCUUCUCCGAGAGGCGAAAAGAGCGAGAGAAAGAGGUGAGAGAAGAAAGAAGAGGGGGAAGGAAAAGAUGAGCAUGAGGGAGGGGGAGGGAGCUGGAAGUUCAUGUCUCACCUCCCGGGCUGGGUGUGAGAUUUAGCCAGAGCCAGCGGAGGUGGCAACGUCACCCGGGUCCCUCUGUCCGGCCUGAUUCCAGCUCAGCUCCAAGGCCCAGGACAAUGAAGCCCCAGUGAUGUCAUGGCAGUUGGAUCGUGAACCCUCCAGGAUCCUCCUAGAACCUCCAGGAAUGAAAGAUUAAUCUUUCAUUAAAAAUUAUGUCUUGUGAUGAAACCAGAAUCGGCAACCCUGCCUGGUGGAGUCCAGGAGAUGGUACAGGUGGGUGCCAUUAUGGUGAAACUUGCUCCCAUAUGUCCACCCGGCCUCUUCAUCACCACCCCAGAGGUCUCUCCAAAAGGGGGAGGUGGCCAAGCUAGUCCCUCUCCUCCUGAUUUUGUCCACCAAUUAGGCCUCCAAUUUUAUUAUCUGCCAGGGACUUCCACCAUUAAGAUAAUGUUUGAUCCCGGCAGUGUGCUCUGUGGAUAUAUAGCAGGAGUUGGGAGGGGGCGUUUGUCACAUGUAACCUACGAUCUCUGUGGUCUUGGGAAACCAGGGUGCAGUAUCCAGCCUGUCUGACUCAUGAAGGACCUCCCCCCACCCGCCCCACCCAACCUCUGCUUGAAUCAAAACUGCUCAGAAGAAAGACUUACCCAAGCCCCUCCAGACAAGGGUGAGAGGAUUAAGGCAACUCCCCUAGUCUCAUUUACAUCAAAGAUGGGACAGGGAGGCACCUCCAUUAGCAUAGAGAAUGGAGAACAGAAAUUCCAAGGCAAGAACUGUGCUGAACUCUGGGACCAGAAAAGCAUGGAAGGACUGCAUGAUGGGAAAUCUCUGCUCCAGAUGUUAAAGAACCCACGCCUGCCCACACCCAGCUCAGUAGUUAUCUGACCAAUUCUAGUAAUAAAUCAUCUAUUGGUAUCCAAUAUACUGAAGCUGCCUAAUUGCAUUAUGAGCUCCCUCGAAGGAACACCGCCCAUAGCCAGGAAUGAUCAGUUCUUAUUGUCUAGCCUGAAUAAAACAGCUUUGAUAUACUCCCUUAAA
Chrysemys picta bellii (western painted turtle) is the source of this 1565-nucleotide long non-coding RNA. RefSeq lists it as uncharacterized. Lineage: Eukaryota; Metazoa; Chordata; Testudines; Emydidae. The record is from RefSeq and is a predicted model, not a curated record.